GAUCUCUUUACCCACUGCAAACCCAUGAGAAAAUCUGCCCACUACAGUCUCUUUUUACUUUGACCCUUGUGUGUUAAUUUAAUUACUUUUAAUUAAAGUAUUUUAAUUUUCAAAGGGCUUUUAGGAGAGCAGUACUACCAGUGACCUAUGGGAACAAGAAGACUAUCUGGAGUGGGAAGCGUGUGAAAUACCCUGACAGCU
RNAcentral lists this long non-coding RNA (201 nucleotides) under Zonotrichia albicollis (white-throated sparrow). RNAcentral's name for it is "lncRNA (ENSZALG00000000448.1)". The record is from RNAcentral. Lineage: Eukaryota; Metazoa; Chordata; Aves; Passeriformes; Passerellidae.